Long non-coding RNA from Cyprinus carpio (common carp), 1176 nucleotides. The record is from Ensembl. Lineage: Eukaryota; Metazoa; Chordata; Actinopteri; Cypriniformes; Cyprinidae.
CUAGAAGAAAAAAAAAACAUUAAUUCUACCAAAAGUUUUUGUGUAUGUAAAGGAAUUAAUACCUUUAUUCAACAAGAAUGCAUUGAUCAAAUUUAAUUGCUACAAAAAAGGAUCAAAUAAAUGCUGUUGUUUUGAACUUUCUAUACAUCAAAGAAUUCUGAAAAAACAAAACUGUUUCAACAAAAUAUUAAACAGCACAACUGUUUCGAGCACUGAUAAUUAUAAGAAAUGUUUCUUGAGGGCCAAAUCAGCAUAUUGUUGAUUUCUAAAGGAUCAUGUGAUACUAAGGACUGUAAUGUUAAUGGCUGAUGAAAAUUUAGCUUUGCCAUUUCAGGAAUAAACUGCAAUUUAAAAUAUAUUAAAACAGAAAACAGUUGAUAUAGAAGAAAUGGAUUUUGAAUAAAGGAGGACAAAGGAGAGAAAGAGUGAAUUAAUUUACACUGUCUAACUUUGCCCACUGGUCUUUAUAUACUAUCCAUCCCAUUCCACAGUGUUCCAGCAACCAUCAGGUGUUCCAUUUGCUUCCCUCAGUGCUCCCUGGGAAAUGCGGUUUGCAGGACACCCACGCAAUCAGGAUACUCAUUUCACGCUGUUCAUGCAGUGGGAUUUAUGUCAUACAUUUCUCUCUCUCUCUCUCUCUCUCUCUCUCUCUCUCUCUUCUUGCAUUAAAGCUUGUUUCUAAUUACUAGUCAGAAAUCCAGCCCUUUUUCUGUGUCGGCCUCCCGGAACAGUCACUGGAAAUGACACCUGCGACGCAGCCGCGAUGGCUAUAAAAUGACAAAUUCAAAGAGGGGAAGGAGAAAAAGCAAGAAUUAAAGAAAAAGCAGGGGGUGAGGAGCGUGUGAUAGGAGAGCAGGGUUUUCUCAGCACUGGUAGGAGCAGAUGGUGAGCACAUUUUGCACAUCAUUUGUGAAUGAUUUCAAAAUCUAUUUAUCUAUUCCAAAGAGAUCGCUGGAAUCCCCAUCUGCCUGCCUUUUUUCUCCUCUCUUCUAUAAUUGUUUCCAUCUCACAUCGUUGCAAACGGAGAAGAGGAGGAGGCUGGCUCAACGAGAGGAGCGAGAGAGAGACAGAAGACAGAGAAAGAAUGUAAUACUGCCACUGUUGAACAUCAGCAGGGAGCUACAGGCAGAAGCCCUUCAGAGAAACUGUCCGGCUACACCUGUCGACAGGAGCUGA